AACAGAAAAUAUGAAACUUAAAGAAAAUGUAAAAUUAAUGAGUUUUUAAGAAAGAAUUCUUUAAGCUUAUGUUUAAUAUGAGCACUAUUGGCAGAAAAAUCAAACCGCAUUUCACUGGGAAGACUGUUAUAAAGCUUUAGUGAUCUGACCAUAGGCUCCGUAUUUGCAUAAGCAGUUCUAUGAAUCCCCACAGAAAACGGCAAAUGUUAUCCCAAAGAUCUGCUCGGCACAUUAACGUUAACGCAAGCUAGAAGAAAGGGCAGUCAAUUAUUCCUACAAUAAAAUUGUUUACAAAAAGCAGCGCUAGUCGACACCUAGCUGUGUAUGGCGCCUUUCAAUCCUGUUUGUGUCCAAACAAUUGCGGAUGGGCUCAAGAUUUAAGAAGCAUACUCUAAUACUGACCGCAUAAAGGCCGAAUAUAAAGAUAAUCUUGUGGACGGGUCUUUUAACUUGCUAGAAUUGCGCCUAAUAAACCCAAACAUCGGCAUAAUAUAGUUUAUAUGCUCAAUGAAAAAGAACUUAGAGUCAAAAAUUACUCCUAACGGCAUAAAAACAUUUGCUAAAUGUGAUGUGAUAGCAUUUAGCUAAGUUCAGUGAUAACUGGUUAUGUUUACACCAUUCAGACAAGUUGUGUCAGUCCUUCUGCAAAAACAGUACAUCAUGCUGAGACGAAAUGCAUUUGAAUAUUUUAUGGUCAUCGGCAAAUAAUAGAUAAUCGGACGAACGUAAGCAACUCCCUACAUCAAUAAUAGACAAGUUAAAUAGAAGCGGACCAAGACAACUCCCCUGAGGGUCCCCCAAAGAUGCGACAUAAGGUGCGGAGAAAGUAUUGUUAAUGCGUACGCUAUAAUAACGAUCAGACAGAUUGGAUUUUAACCAGCUUAAUAAAAAAGAGUGAAAACCCA
This is a long non-coding RNA of Drosophila montana, 905 nucleotides long. RefSeq lists it as uncharacterized. NCBI's taxonomy places the organism in Eukaryota, Metazoa, Arthropoda, Insecta, Diptera, Drosophilidae. The transcript is spliced from 2 exons. The record is from RefSeq and is a predicted model, not a curated record.